GUGGUUUUCCAAAAGCAUAUGUUUAGAAUAUGUCUUCCAUAAGGUUUUUGUGACAUGGAAGACCAAAUUUUUCAUAAAAAAAAAUCUUUCACACAUUUACAGACUCUUAAAAAUGAAAAGUACCUUAGAAGUAGAUAGAGGUAAAGGAAUGGAGAUAUGAUCUUAUUCUUGAGAAUAGAAUAAGAAGCUUUGUUAAAGAAAUUACUGAAACCAGAAUACACACUAUUUUUGAUGUGAUAUGAACUGAUAAAGCUUAUGUUUGUAGGGUUAUCACAUGGAAGAAGGAUUAGGUUUAUUCUACUUAGCCUCAGAAGAAAGAAUUUAGAGUAACUGAAGUAGGUUGAGAUAUACAAAGAAGAAAGUAUUGGGUCUAUGUUUGGGGGGGGGGAGCUAACAAUUAGAACUCUCCAAACACAGAACACAAUACUCUAGGAAUCAAGAAGGAUCCUUCUUAUUGGUGGAUCAUAAACAGAAGUGGGAUACUAUUUAUUGGGGGUUUGGGUAUGGAAAAAAAUCCCUUUUAAUUAAAGGUUGGGCUAAAUAGCUUCUGAUUUCCAUUCCAACUCUAAGAUUCUUCACUCUGCCACCAUAUUUUCAGGAAACCAAGUUAAAGAAAAGAUAUCUACUAAAAGAAGUUGAGGGAAAUCUAAGAUGAUGAUGAUGGUGAUUAAGGACCAGGUCACUGCUACCAGAAAACACAGAAAGAGCAUCAUAAAGGAUCUCAGAUAUGUUUCUCAAUGAAACUUAUAUAAGGGAAUGGGUCUUGCCCAAUGCAUGGCAUAUAAUAACUGCUAAUAAAUGUUGAUUGACUUGAUGUGAUGUGACAUUGAAAGAGACUUGAGAGAUCUGAAAUAGAAGAUUCAGGGGAAAAUUAAAAAUAACUUGAAGAAUUUCAUCUCCCCUCCCCCUACCACACUAACUUAUCAUCAUCUACAUGGAACUUGGCGACACACUAAAAGGACUUCCAUUCUGGUAAUAAUUUCAUCAUUCCCUGAGCCUUCUAUUGAAGUCCUCCAGAACACAAGUAAUGUUAUAGAACAGUACAAAGGUAUGAUACUAAAUAUUUACUACCUGGGCUUUAGGGGAGGAAAUGUACAAACACACUCUUUAAAAAAUUCUUACCUUCCAUCUUAGAAUCAAUACUUUGUAUUGAUUCCAAGGCAGAAGAGUGGUAAGCACUAGACAAUGGGUUGUGUAAUUUGGCCAGGGUCACAAAGCUGGGAAUUAUCUGAGGCCAUAUGUGAACCCAGGACCUCCCACCUCUAGACAAGGCUCUCAAUCCACUAGCUGUCCUCCAAACAUACAUUUUUGAACUUAACUUGUGUCAUUAGCACUUUCUUAAAUCUAGACAAUAAAUAAAAGAGUAAAUCGGGCCCA
Molecule: long non-coding RNA, 1377 nt
Filed under: Monodelphis domestica (gray short-tailed opossum)
Lineage: Eukaryota; Metazoa; Chordata; Mammalia; Didelphimorphia; Didelphidae
Description: lncRNA (ENSMODG00000048053.1)
Source: RNAcentral